CGGGGCUCCAGGCUGGCAGGUGAGGGUUCCGGCUCACCUGGAAGCGCGCGCCCCCGCCGGCCCUGGAGGUGCGGAAACCAGGGGUCGCGGUCAGCGCAGGCCCUGCCCUCCGCCGCCGAGGCGCGCGCGUCCUUAGGCCGGAGCUACAAGAAUCCUCCUCUCCCUGUGGUCCGCAGGAGUCCUGAGCGACCACACACAGCAGCGAACCAGAGCCCUCUCUGCCUCUGGCUUAUCAAUUAACAUUUAGCCUAAAGUAAAGUUUUCCCUCUCUUUUUUAGCUUAAAAGUAUUUUAGAGAAUAAAAAUAUUGUAGAGAAUUUAAGAAAUCACUCCUAGUGUCAACAUGGAAUUUUAAUGUUUUUAUUGUAUAUUUUAAGAAUUCUGUUUUUUUUAAAUUUUUUUUUCAGUUGUAGUUGGACACAUACCUUUAUUUUAUUUAUUUUUAUGUGGUGCUGAGGAUGGAACUCGGCCUCUUCGCGUGCUACAUGAGCUCUGUACCGCUGAGCCACAGCCCCAGGCCCUCCUGUUUGGUUUUGUUCUGUACUGCUUCAUUAUUUCCCAUAAUUGUCACUAAAUUUCUAGCCUGCUUACUUGCUUCUUUUUCCUUUUUUUGUAUGGGGAUUGAACCCAGGGGCACUUAAGCACUGAGUCACAUCCCAGCACAUUGUUUUUUAUUUUGAGACAGGGUCUUGCUAAGUUGCUUGGAGCCUUGGUAAGUUACUAAGGCUGGGUUUGAACUUGUGAUCCUCCUGGCUCAGCCUCCCUAGCCACUGGGAUUACAGGUGUGGGUCAUGCCUGGCCUCAGCCUGUUUUGAAAAAUGAUUAAAUCAUAUUUCAGACAAUUUCUCUAUGACAUGCCCUUCCUGAAUCAUACCUGCUAGCUGCAUGACUUUGCACUGUUUCGUCCAGCUAGUUGGGCAUUUAGGUGGGGUCUGCAUUUUCAUUUUGAAGUAGCAUGUAAUUUUGAUUUUUAUUUCUUAGUUAUGCUACAAGUUUGUAAAAGGUGUUUACAGUUUUUUUCAAGUGGACAGGUAUUUACCCUUCUCUUUGUUUAAAAUUUUUUUACUCUGCAGUUUGAGAAUGUGAUUGUAUUUCUGCUUUUUGAAUUUGAGUUUUGAUUGAUGGUUGAUUUGUGUGUGUGUGUGAGUGUGUGCGCGCGCGUGUGUGUGUGUGUGUGUGUGUGUGUUACAGGGUAUUGACCCCAGGGGUGCUCUACCACUGAACCACAUCCCCAACCUUUUUAUUUUUUAUUUUGAGAGAGGGUCCUGCUGAGUUGCCCAGGCUGGCCUCAAACUUGCAAUCCUCCUGCCUCAGUCUCUGGAAUUACAGGUGAGCACCACCAAGCCCAUUUGUAAAUAACCUUAGGCAUAGUUUUGCACAAAAUUCCAUACAUUUAUUAACCAUAACUAUUAUAUCUUUACUUUUUGUAUACUUCAUCUGUCAAUUGGAUUUUCCGUUUCUUCUAAUUUCUAAGUUUGUGCUUUCUGUAUUUUAAAAGUGAUAUUAUGAAUGUAAAAAUGCUGUUGAGAUGAUAAAUAAGGAACCAUACCAGCAUAUACAUCUUUUUAUGCAUUCUGAAUUAUUUCUCUUGGUCGAGAUUUUCAAAAGGAAGUGGGCUUUCAAGCCAAGUUGUCCUUUUAAGGAUUUGACAAAUGUGUACAUGAGAAUGCAUAUUUCACUAAACUCCACUCAGCAACAGGAAUUAGACACACGUACACGUAUUCUCUCUAUAUAUACAUAUAUGUACAUACAUAUUUGUCAGUGUUAUAUUUGAGAAAGGCAAGAAAUGAGAUACUUUUUUUUUUUGGUUUACCAUUUACAAAUCUUUCACAUACAUUCUCAUUUGACCCUCCCGACAACCCUGUGAGGUAGGCAGCACAGACAUUCUUCUCAAUUAACAGAUGAGGAAAGUGAAUCUAAAAGCAGUUAACUGAUGUGCCCAAGGUUCUAUAGUUAGCAAAUAGUUUGUAAUAUCAGUCUUUGGCCUAAAAAUUAAGUGCCCAACCUCCCCUCAUACUUGCCUUACCUACUUCACAGGGAUAAUGAAGAUAAAAUGAAUUGAAAAUUAAAAAAAUACUUUGAGGGGAAAAACCACUAUAUAAUUAUACCCAAUAUUGCCCAUGAUAUAUGGCUCAUUCCUCUUAUUCCAGUUUGUGCAUGAACCAGAAUUUUAUAUUACUUCUAUGCUCAACUAAGCAAUUAAGUAAGGCAGGGUAAUAGUGUGAUCCUGUUUAAAAUUAGAUAAAUUACAAUCAGGGUAACUGCAUUAUUAAGCAAAUUGAAAAACAGGCUAAUGUGCAAUUAGGACCCAAUAAAGCACACAGCAAAGCAAGGCAACAUUAUCAGAUAGGGCAUGAUUGCAUAGAGGGAAAAUGUAGUGUCAGUUAAACUGGCACACACCCAGUUAUCUAAGGUGAAGUGGUGGCAAAGAAGAGUUAUUUGUUCUGCAUUAUGUAAAUAAGAGAAGAUGAUUCUUGGGAACCCAUGCAAAAGCAUCUUGUCACACAGAUUUCUCCAGCUGCCUAAAGAGAAUAUAAACACGGUCAUCUUCAUUGUCGAGAAUGAUUCUAUCUAUGCUUAUAUCCAGACUAAACCAAGGAAUACCUCCAAGCUAAUCUUCCGUGGCUAAAAUACAACUAGUACCAUUAUUCCUAAUUAGACUAAUAAAUAGAUAUCUUUUAAUGAAUUAGAUGGCUGUUUAAUUUUUUUUUUCAGGAUUCACUUUGGAUUCUUCUGCUUUAAGACCCAAAGCACGUUAU
Molecule: long non-coding RNA, 2758 nt
Filed under: Marmota monax (woodchuck)
Lineage: Eukaryota; Metazoa; Chordata; Mammalia; Rodentia; Sciuridae
Source: RNAcentral